AUGAGGGACCUUGGCUUCUCGGGUCCCAAGUACACCUGGUGCAAUCGACAAGAUCCCAAUUGUCAUGUUAAAGUCAGGCUAGAUAGGGUUGUGGUGAACAAUUGUUUUUCAAAUCUGUUUGAUGAAUGUCAUGUGGAAAAUAUCAUUGCUACUUCGUCAGACCAUUAUGCCAUGUUGAUCGGGCUUUCUCGUUCCAGUAGGGCGUGUGAUCGUCGUCCGGUGAAACAGGGUUUUAAAUUUGAAGCCAUGUGGCUUCGGGCCUCUGACUACCGAGACACCAUGGAGCGCGUUUGGGCUAAGGGGGGGUGUGGAGAUGUGUCUCUUCAGUCCACUUGGGAUAAUCUGAAUCGAGUUGCUGGCUCUUUAAAGUCUUGGAGUCGUGAUUCGUUUGGAUCUGUACGCAAGCAAAUCAAUAGGUUAGAGAGACGCCUCUACUCCAUCCAGUCUGCUCCGGUAUCGGCGGCGCCUCUAGCUGAGGAGAGAUCCAUUGAGACCCAUCUUUGUGAGCUUUUUGAGCGAGAAGAGAUUAUGGAGCGCCAGCGAUCUCGGGUUGAUUGGCUCCGAGAGGGGGACAGAAACACAUCUUUUUUCCAAGCCCGAGCCACUGCGCGCAGGCGCACCAACAAGAUCCACUCGCUUCAGCGUGAAGAUGGGUCCAUGUGUGAGUCACAGGCGGAGAUUAAAGGGUUGGUGCAAUAGUUUUACGACAAGCUCUUUUCUUCACAACAUUGUGCUGAUGCUGAC
RNAcentral lists this ribosomal RNA (744 nucleotides) under Triticum aestivum (bread wheat). Its description in RNAcentral is "partial small subunit ribosomal RNA". Lineage: Eukaryota; Viridiplantae; Streptophyta; Magnoliopsida; Poales; Poaceae. The record is from RNAcentral.